UUUGUUUAUUGAAUACUCCAAUAUAAUAACACUCGCGAAUGUCUUCCGACUAACUUAAUGCGAUCAUCAACCACAAAACACCACUUCGUAUUAAUUAUUUGGAUUAUUCAAUGAAGAAAGCAACUGUCCCGUUCCCGUUUCCCGCCAAAAAGCCGAGAGAGAGAGAGCGAGGAAUGUCAUUUGACAUUGACAUUACCUGCCAGUGUUGCAUAACGUAAAAAUAUGACAGUGCUUAAAAUCCUCAGAACAAUAACUAAAGCAUAGAAGGAAGGCUAAAAUAAGAAUUCAGAAACUAUAAACCGGCUCUCUUCUAGCUUACGACACAAACUAUGAGUGAGAAAAGGACAAAUGAUUCGCUCUUUGCUUCAUUUUUUCCGAGGUUGUCACAACAUGAAAUGUCAUUUGGACCUAUUGGACUCAUUUUAACUCGGCCAAAUACAUAGUAACAUACAUAAGAAGAUUUUACUUAUAUUUACCGAACUAUUUGACACGGUCGCGUCAACUGUGUUUACGAGUGUCUUGUGUUCAGAUUGUUUUAAGUGAUAAUUUAACAAUAUUUUUCCAAAUAAAUGGAAAGAAACUUUUAUUUAUAUCAAAUAAUUGAGUGUCUCGACUGUGUGACAUUAUGUCUUGUGUGGUAUGGGGCUGCAGCUCACAUUCAGGAAGAAAAGAAAAUAGCCAACAACUUCUGUCGUUUCAUCGAUAUUAAAUCCAAAAGUGUCGACUGGAUUUACAUGAAAAGUCAGUUCAAGAAGACGAGAUGAAAAAUUUAAAAGAAAAGCUGAACAAGUCCCGCCUCAAGAUCAAACGACUUAAUGAAAAAAA
Molecule: long non-coding RNA, 825 nt
Organism: Pectinophora gossypiella (pink bollworm)
Lineage: Eukaryota; Metazoa; Arthropoda; Insecta; Lepidoptera; Gelechiidae
Exons: 3
Source: RefSeq, a predicted model, not a curated record